This 207-nucleotide unclassified non-coding RNA is filed under the name Hevea brasiliensis (rubber tree). Lineage: Eukaryota; Viridiplantae; Streptophyta; Magnoliopsida; Malpighiales; Euphorbiaceae. The record is from RNAcentral.
CGGAGUGCGUGGCAUCUAAGCACAAAUUAUUUAGUCAUUACAGUAGUAGCUUUUGUGGUUGUGGAAAGCCCAUGAAGUAUUCGUUAAAUCAGUUGUCUAAUGCUGAGUCAAAUAAUAUUGUUGUUUGUGAUCCUCGAGAUGAAGGGGUGUUUAUUAGAGGACUGACCCGGCUUAUAAUAAGUGACGAAUUACAAUUGAUGCCCCCAA